UACGAAGGGGGCUAGCGUUGUUCGGAAUUACUGGGCGUAAAGCGCACGUAGGCGGACUAUUAAGUCAGGGGUGAAAUCCCGGGGCUCAACCCCGGAACUGCCUUUGAUACUGGUAGUCUCGAGUCCGGAAGAGGUGAGUGGAAUUCCGAGUGUAGAGGUGAAAUUCGUAGAUAUUCGGAGGAACACCAGUGGCGAAGGCGGCUCACUGGUCCGGUACUGACGCUGAGGUGCGAAAGCGUGGGGAGCAAACAGGAUUAGAACCCCGGUAGUCC
RNAcentral lists this ribosomal RNA (272 nucleotides) under uncultured prokaryote. Its description in RNAcentral is "partial 16S ribosomal RNA". It matches the Rfam family "Bacterial small subunit ribosomal RNA", at positions 524 to 796 of the family's 1533-position model. The record is from RNAcentral.